GAUGAACGCUGGCGGCGUGCUUAACACAUGCAAGUCGAACGGAAAGGCUCCUGCUUGCAGGGGUACUCGAGUGGCGAACGGGUGAGUAACACGUGGGUGAUCUGCCCUGCACUUCGGGAUAAGCCUGGGAAACUGGGUCUAAUACCGGAUAGGACGAUGGUUUGGAUGCCAUUGUGGAAAGUUUUUCGGUGUGGGAUGAGCUCGCGGCCUAUCAGCUUGUUGGUGGGGUAAUGGCCUACCAAGGCGUCGACGGGUAGCCGGCCUGAGAGGGUGUACGGCCAUUGUGGGAAUGAUAUCCGGCCGGGCCUCCUAGGGGAGCAAGGAGGGGGGAUUUGUGAACAAGGGGCGAGACCCGAAGACAGGGCCGCGGGGGGGGGGAGGACGGCUUUCGGUUUGUAACCCCUUUGCGCCGGGAAAGAACGGAAGAGGAGGAUCUGUAAUUGAGAGGCCCGGACAAGCAAGCUC
Molecule: ribosomal RNA, 465 nt
Filed under: uncultured bacterium
Lineage: Bacteria
Description: partial 16S ribosomal RNA
Rfam family: Bacterial small subunit ribosomal RNA
Source: RNAcentral